UGGUGAGUAUAGCUAUGGGGGUACACCUAGUUACAUUCCGAACCUAGAAGUUAAGCCCAUAUACGCUGAUGGUACUUGGCUGGAAGCGGCCUGGGAGAGUAUGAAUUUGCCAAGCA
This 116-nucleotide ribosomal RNA is filed under the name Fusobacterium animalis 11_3_2. Lineage: Bacteria; Fusobacteriati; Fusobacteriota; Fusobacteriia; Fusobacteriales; Fusobacteriaceae. The record is from RNAcentral.